UACGGAGGGUGCAAGCGUUAUCCGGAUUCACUGGGCUUAAAGGGUGCGUAGGCGGGCAGGUAAGUCAGUGGUGAAAUCUCCGAGCUUAACUUGGAAACUGCCGUUGAUACUAUCUGCCUUGAAUAUUGUGGAGGUGAGCGGAAUAUGUCAUGUAGCGGUGAAAUGCUUAGAUAUGACAUAGAACACCAAUUGCGAAGGCAGCUCGCUACACAUAUAUUGACUCUGAGGCACGAAAGCGUGGGGAUCAAACAGG
Molecule: ribosomal RNA, 253 nt
Filed under: uncultured bacterium
Lineage: Bacteria
Description: partial 16S ribosomal RNA
Rfam family: Bacterial small subunit ribosomal RNA
Source: RNAcentral